UACCUCAAAAUUCCGCAACAGUCUGUUUCAUCAGUAAAGAAUCAUCAGGCGGUAUGAUGAUUCUUUAUAUGAUGAAACAGACUGUUGCCUGAUGAUUUUUUACUGAUGAAACAGACUGUAUAAUACCGCUUGAUGAUUCUUUACUGAUGAAACAGACUGUUGCGGAAUUU
This is a non-coding RNA of Paramuricea clavata, 170 nucleotides long. The record is from the annotation of a GenBank genome assembly. NCBI's taxonomy places the organism in Eukaryota, Metazoa, Cnidaria, Anthozoa, Malacalcyonacea, Plexauridae.